This is a long non-coding RNA of Oncorhynchus masou masou (cherry salmon), 414 nucleotides long. RefSeq lists it as uncharacterized. The record is from RefSeq and is a predicted model, not a curated record. NCBI's taxonomy places the organism in Eukaryota, Metazoa, Chordata, Actinopteri, Salmoniformes, Salmonidae. The transcript has 2 exons.
CCACAUCCGUCUUUAUCUCCCCCAUACUCUGGAUGUGCCUGAGAACGGGGAGGAGGGAGGCGUGGGGAUGUUAGAGAAGGUGAAGAGGUUCAGUGGUGGGGAAUUCAUACCUCAUAUCCUGUAUGACGGACGCUCGCAGCGAUGGCAUCCCUAAUGAUGACUCAGACUUUCGUCUCUCUGAACCAUUUGACACUGUGGGAGGGAGAAAGAAGCACACACACAUCUCAGCUUUGGCAGCGCUCCAAUUGAAAUCAGAUGCCACUGGAGUGUGAAAGGUCUAUAGAUUCAUUUUAGCAAAUGAGUUGAAUUUCAAAUUGAGUAUUUCAUGGGAUCAUUGGCUAUGGAUAUUGUGUGACUGAAUGAAUUGAGGGUAGGAGGCACAUGUGUUUUAUAUUAAAUGGACCAUGUAAGGCG